GAUGAACGCUGGCGGCGUGCCUAAUACAUGCAAGUCGAGCGAACAGACGAGGAGUUUGCUCCUCUGACGUUAGCGGCGGACGGGUGAGUAACACGUGGAUAACCUACCUAUAAGACUGGGGUAACUUCGGGAAACCGGAGCUAAUACCGGAAAAUAUAUUGAACCGCAUGGUUCAAUAGUGAAAGACGGUUUUGGUGUAACUUAUAGAUGGAUCCGCGCCGCAUUAGCUAGUUGGUAAGGUAACGGCUUACCAAGGCGACGAUGCGUAGCCGACCUGAGAGGGUGAUCGGCCACACGGGAACUGAGACACGGUCCAGACUCCUACGGGAGGCAGCAGUAGGGAAUCUUCCGCAAUGGGCGAAAGCCUGACGGAGCAACGCCGCGUGAGUGAUGAAGGUCUUCGGAUCGUAAAACUCUGUUAUUAGGGAAGAACAAAUGUGUAAGUAACUAUGCACGUCUUGACGGUACCUGAUCAGAAAGCCACGGCUAACUACGUG
This 497-nucleotide ribosomal RNA is filed under the name uncultured bacterium. Its description in RNAcentral is "partial 16S ribosomal RNA". It matches the Rfam family "Bacterial small subunit ribosomal RNA", at positions 28 to 507 of the family's 1533-position model. The record is from RNAcentral.